RNAcentral lists this long non-coding RNA (406 nucleotides) under Helianthus annuus (common sunflower). RNAcentral describes it as "sRNA HanXRQr2_Chr13g0599281". Lineage: Eukaryota; Viridiplantae; Streptophyta; Magnoliopsida; Asterales; Asteraceae. The record is from RNAcentral.
GAAACAGAGGAAACUGAAAAUGGUAAUAAUGAUGUAUCUCGUCCCUAAAGAGGCUAAUGAUCAGCCGAAGGAACUACUAUACUAGAAACAAGCUUCUAAAAGGCUAUUGCAGAAUGGGAUACGGGUACUGAUGCGGGUCCUCUUGUAACUAGGCCUAGGCAUAUUCGGUUUGAAUCUCUUCAUAAAGAAGGAAGAAACUAUGCCUGGCAGCAUUGGGUGAAUGGAGGUAGAAACAGAGGAAACUGAAAAUGGUAAUAAUGAUGUAUCUCGUCCCUAAAGAGGCUAAUGAUCAGCCGAAGGAACUACUAUACUAGAAACAAGCUUCUAAAAGGCUAUUGCAGAAUGGGAUACGGGUACUGAUGCGGGUCCUCUUGUAACUAGGCCUAGGCAUAUUCGGUUUGAAUCU